AAGGCCUGAUGUGUGUGAGAUUACCCGCUGAAUUUAAGCAUAUAAGUAAGCGGAGGAAAAGAAACUAACUAGGAUUCCCUUAGUAAUGGCGAAUGAACAGGGAUCAGCUCAGUGCCAAAUCGGAAUCACUUGUGGUUCUGAAAUGUGGCUUGAAGGCAGUACCAGUGGCAUCGCGGACGAAAGUCUCUUGGAAAAGAGCGUCAUAGAGGGUGAGAAUCCCGUGAGUCGUUCGCCGUUUGUCACGUACGGUCUGCGUUCUAACGAGUCGCGUUCCUUGGGAUUGGAGCGUAAACGGGUGGUAAAUUUCAUCCAAAGCAAAAUAUAUACUCGAGACCGAUAGCACAAAAGUACCGUGAGGGAAAGGUGAAAAGAACUUUGAGAAGAGGGUUAAAUAGUGCCUGAAAUCGUUGAGAAGGAAGCGGAUGCCGCCGUUGCAUAUGCUGAUUGUAGGAUUGCUGCUCGCUCCUGUCUUCUGCUACUCAUUCACAGACCUGGUCGUGUUGAGCAGUUGUUUGGCAGAUGUUAGUGGUGUUUCCUACUUUCAGUCGUCAGCAUCACUGGCUGAGUGGAAAUAAUCCUUGGAUGCUAAUUGGUUCGCUAUCUGUGAAUUGGUUGCUUCCUUGCGAUACUCACUACUCGGUCAGUGAGGAAGUGCGUU
This 658-nucleotide non-coding RNA is filed under the name Perkinsus marinus ATCC 50983. RNAcentral describes it as "Eukaryotic large subunit ribosomal RNA". It matches the Rfam family "Eukaryotic large subunit ribosomal RNA", at positions 1 to 634 of the family's 3401-position model. The record is from Rfam by way of RNAcentral. Lineage: Eukaryota; Perkinsozoa; Perkinsida; Perkinsidae.